GGAGGAGAAGGAAAAAGAAAACUCUCCUGUUCAUGCUGGCAGUUGCCAAUUUUGGACUAUCAGGGAGAUGUUCUCCACCACUAGAUUCAGCAAGGAAGUGUUGAGGAGGAACUGCUUCAUUCUCCAAAUCUGAUCCAGAAGAGAAAUGUCUUCCACAACUGGAUCAAGGAAGAAGUGACUGUUGAUGAGCAGGUUCAGCUGGUGCCUAUUGAUGUUAAAGCUCUUAUGUAUGCUUGCACCUUUGUUUUCCACUUGCUUAUUGAUGAAACUCAUGUGUACCUCCUGC
This 286-nucleotide long non-coding RNA is filed under the name Vigna radiata. RNAcentral describes it as "long non-coding RNA (VRAD_LNC003644)". The record is from RNAcentral. Lineage: Eukaryota; Viridiplantae; Streptophyta; Magnoliopsida; Fabales; Fabaceae.